This 253-nucleotide ribosomal RNA is filed under the name uncultured prokaryote. RNAcentral's name for it is "partial 16S ribosomal RNA". It matches the Rfam family "Bacterial small subunit ribosomal RNA", at positions 524 to 776 of the family's 1533-position model. The record is from RNAcentral.
UACAGAGGGUGCAAGCGUUGUUCGGAAUUAUUGGGCGUAAAGGGUGCGUAGGCGGUGCGGUAAGUCUGUAGUGAAAUCUCUGGGCUCAACUCAGAGUCUGCUAUAGAAACUGCCGUGCUCGAGUAUGGGAGAGGUGAGUGGAAUUCCCGGUGUAGCGGUGAAAUGCGCAGAUAUCGGGAAGAACACCCGUGGCGAAGGCGGCUCUCUGGGACGGUACUGACGCUGAGACGCGAAAGCGUGGGGAGCGAACAGG